AUACGAGGGGUGCAAGUGUUGUUCGGAAUUACUGGGCGUAAAGGGAGCGUAGGCGGAAAUUUAAGUCAGAUGUUUAAUCCCGGGGCCCAACCCCGGUCUAGCGUUUGAUACUGGAUUUCUUGAAUAUAGUAGAGGUGGAUGGAAUUCCCGGUGUAGCGGUGGAAUGCGUAGAUAUCGGGAGGAACACCAGUUGCGAAGGCGAUUCACUGGACUAAUAUUGACGCUGAGGCUCGAAAGCGUGGGGAGCGAACAGGAUUAGAAACCCUAGUAGUCC
This 274-nucleotide ribosomal RNA is filed under the name uncultured bacterium. Its description in RNAcentral is "partial 16S ribosomal RNA". It matches the Rfam family "Bacterial small subunit ribosomal RNA", at positions 523 to 796 of the family's 1533-position model. The record is from RNAcentral.